Molecule: ribosomal RNA, 253 nt
Filed under: uncultured bacterium
Lineage: Bacteria
Description: partial 16S ribosomal RNA
Rfam family: Bacterial small subunit ribosomal RNA
Source: RNAcentral
UACGUAGGGUGCAAGCGUUGUCCGGAAUUAUUGGGCGUAAAGAGCUCGUAGGCGGUCUGUCGCGUCUGCUGUGAAAAUCCGGGGCUCAACCCCGGACUUGCAGUGGGUACGGGCAGACUAGAGUGUGGUAGGGGAGACUGGAAUUCCUGGUGUAGCGGUGGAAUGCGCAGAUAUCAGGAGGAACACCGAUGGCGAAGGCAGGUCUCUGGGCCACUACUGACGCUGAGAAGCGAAAGCAUGGGGAGCGAACAGG